AAUCAACGCUGGCGGCGUGCCUAACACAUGCAAGUCGAGCGGGGUCCAUCUUGUCGCAAGACAAGGGAAGACCUAGCGGCGAACGGGUGAGUAACACGUGAGCAACCUGCCCCGAAGACUGGGAUAACACCGGGAAACCGGUGCUAAUACCGGAUGCCCUCAGAGAGUCGCAUGGCUCAUUGAGGAAAUGGAUUCCGCUUCGGGAGGGGCUCGCGGCCUAUCAGCUUGUUGUGGGGUAACGGCUACCAAGGCUC
This 254-nucleotide ribosomal RNA is filed under the name uncultured Actinomycetes bacterium. RNAcentral describes it as "uncultured actinobacterium partial 16S ribosomal RNA". It matches the Rfam family "Bacterial small subunit ribosomal RNA", at positions 32 to 276 of the family's 1533-position model. The record is from RNAcentral. Lineage: Bacteria; Bacillati; Actinomycetota; Actinomycetes.